This is a long non-coding RNA of Lycium barbarum (goji berry), 600 nucleotides long. RefSeq lists it as uncharacterized. The transcript is spliced from 2 exons. The record is from RefSeq and is a predicted model, not a curated record. NCBI's taxonomy places the organism in Eukaryota, Viridiplantae, Streptophyta, Magnoliopsida, Solanales, Solanaceae.
CCAAAUACAUCAGGGACCAAGUUGAUUACUUUUAUCCAUACUUUAAGGACUAUAUCCAUCAAGUGGAUAAUAUCAAGGACUAAACCAAUGAAACCCCAAUACAUCAGGGACCAUUUUGAUCAUUUUCUCCUUCACUUCCAUUAACCCAAAUUAUAUAUAGUUUCCCCAAAUCUCAAAUUGUCCUCCAAAUUUCACCCAAAGUUUUCUUCUUGCUUUACUUUUAAAAAGAUUCUUGGAAAGAAACUAGAUCAUGAAGAGUAUUAGAAAGAAAUGGAAAGGUACCGGAUUUAAUCUCCAUCAUCGCCUUUAUAAAGAGCCAUUGACGUUGGAGGAAAAUGUUGCAAGACUUCCCAGUGGAAUUGAUCCUGACCAGUGGAUGCGGUUUCUUCAAUACAGCAAGGAUAAGAAAACACAGGCUACAUAUUAUUUGAUCGGUUCUUUAAGCUUUAAUUCUUGAACCAUAUUGUAGCUAUGAAUCUGAAUAUGCAUAUUCUGAUUUACCAACUAAUCAAAGCUUUUUUUCCCCUUAAGUUUCAGAUGUUACUAUGGCAAGCUUAUUUCUGUAUUGUUUUAUGAAUUUAAUCCAAUAUGCUUAAUUUC